This 404-nucleotide ribosomal RNA is filed under the name Chiasmocleis albopunctata group sp. ABGD cluster 2. Its description in RNAcentral is "partial large subunit ribosomal RNA". It matches the Rfam family "Bacterial large subunit ribosomal RNA", at positions 1834 to 2457 of the family's 2925-position model. The record is from RNAcentral. Lineage: Eukaryota; Metazoa; Chordata; Amphibia; Anura; Microhylidae.
UCUGAAAAAUUAUAGAAGGUCCAGCCUGCCCAGUGACUUAGUUAAACGGCCGCGGUACCCUAACCGUGCGAAGGUAGCACAAUCACUUGUUCUUUAAAUAAGGACUAGUAUGAAUGGCAUCACGAGGAUUAAACUGUCUCCCCCACCUAAUCAAUGAAACUGACCUCCCCGUGAAGAAGCGGGGAUAAAUAUAUAAGACGAGAAGACCCUAUGGAGCUUUAAACAUAACACCACCCACCUAAGCCCACUUCAUAAAAAACAGGUGAAGCUUGUGUACGUUUUCAGUUGGGGUGACUGCGGAGCAAAAUAAAACCUCCACGAUGAAAUCUCUAAUCCAAGAACAACAAUUCAAAGAAUCAACAAAUUGACAUUAAUUGACCCAAAUAAUAAUUUGAUCAACGAAC